RNAcentral lists this transfer RNA (72 nucleotides) under Camelus bactrianus (Bactrian camel). It matches the Rfam family "tRNA". Rfam says of the family: Transfer RNA (tRNA) molecules are approximately 80 nucleotides in length. Their secondary structure includes four short double-helical elements and three loops (D, anti-codon, and T loops). Lineage: Eukaryota; Metazoa; Chordata; Mammalia; Artiodactyla; Camelidae. RNAcentral also lists the same sequence under 2 other names. The record is from Rfam by way of RNAcentral.
GAGGGUAUAGCUCAGUGGUAGGGUUCAUGCUUGGCAUGCAUGAGGUCCUAAGUUCAAUACCCAGUACCUCCA